This 368-nucleotide long non-coding RNA is filed under the name Equus caballus (horse). RNAcentral describes it as "lncRNA (ENSECAG00000049107.1)". The record is from RNAcentral. Lineage: Eukaryota; Metazoa; Chordata; Mammalia; Perissodactyla; Equidae.
CUUUCCCAGGUCUUCACCCAGAUGUGGAACUCGGCCCCUUGCCUUGAUUUCCAGCAAAACCAAACCAAACACCGUGCAAGACCUUUUCCGGAAAUUUUUAUGAACGGCAAGAUGACGCGAUGGACCACAUCUUUCUUCUGAAAAAAAAUGGGACAGAACCCUUAUGAAAGAGGAGAGGGGAAAGGCGAACAGCCCAAAAGCAGAGCGUUCUGGGGAGUCCAGUUUCAGCAAAGAGGACUCCUGGAAUGAACAGUGGAGUUUUCCAGCAGCUACAGGACAUGAGAUAUUGCAACACGCUGAAGCAGAGGCUGAUAUGAGAAUCCAGCUGUCUUCUAUUAAGUCAGAUUUGCAAGACUAUAAAACAGCGC